GCCCGGCUAGCUCAGUUUGUAGAGCAUGAGACUCUUAAUCUCAGGGUCAUGGGUUCGAGCCCAUAUUGGGCU
Non-coding RNA from Talpa occidentalis (Iberian mole), 72 nucleotides. The record is from the annotation of a RefSeq genome assembly. Lineage: Eukaryota; Metazoa; Chordata; Mammalia; Eulipotyphla; Talpidae.